This 90-nucleotide transfer RNA is filed under the name Potamon ruttneri. Its description in RNAcentral is "tRNA-Leu". The record is from RNAcentral. Lineage: Eukaryota; Metazoa; Arthropoda; Malacostraca; Decapoda; Potamidae.
GCUAUUUUGGCAGAUAAUAUGCAUUAAAUUUAGGAUUUAAUUAUAUAGGGAUCUAUAGAUAGUAAAAUAAUUUUUAGGGCUAAUUAUUUU